RNAcentral lists this ribosomal RNA (253 nucleotides) under uncultured bacterium. Its description in RNAcentral is "partial 16S ribosomal RNA". It matches the Rfam family "Bacterial small subunit ribosomal RNA", at positions 524 to 776 of the family's 1533-position model. The record is from RNAcentral.
UACGUAGGUGGCAAGCGUUGUCCGGAUUUAUUGGGUUUAAAGGGUGCGUAGGCGGUCUUUUAAGUCAGUGCUGAAAUACUCCAGCUUAACUGGAGGGGUGGCAUUGAUACUGGAAGACUUGAGUGUAGUCGAGGUAGGCGGAAUUGACAGUGUAGCGGUGAAAUGCUUAGAUAUCGUCAAGAACACCGAUAGUGAAGACAGCUUACUAGGCUACAACUGACGCUGAGGCACGAAAGUGUGGGGAUCAAACAGG